Transfer RNA from Alligator mississippiensis (American alligator), 72 nucleotides. It matches the Rfam family "tRNA". From Rfam's summary of the family: Transfer RNA (tRNA) molecules are approximately 80 nucleotides in length. Their secondary structure includes four short double-helical elements and three loops (D, anti-codon, and T loops). Lineage: Eukaryota; Metazoa; Chordata; Crocodylia; Alligatoridae. The record is from Rfam.
GGGGAUGUAGCUAAGUGGUAGAACAUAUGCUUUGCUUGUAUGAGAUCUUGGGUUCAAUCCCCAGCAUCUCCA